RNAcentral lists this ribosomal RNA (495 nucleotides) under uncultured bacterium. RNAcentral's name for it is "partial 16S ribosomal RNA". It matches the Rfam family "Bacterial small subunit ribosomal RNA", at positions 28 to 507 of the family's 1533-position model. The record is from RNAcentral.
GACGAACGCUGGCGGCGUGCCUAAUACAUGCAAGUUGAGCGCUGAAGGUUGGUACUUGUACCAACUGGAUGAGCAGCGAACGGGUGAGUAACGCGUGGGGAAUCUGCCUUUGAGCGGGGGACAACAUUUGGAAACGAAUGCUAAUACCGCAUAAAAACUUUAAACACAAGUUUUAAGUUUGAAAGAUGCAAUUGCACCACUCAAAGAUGAUCCCGCGUUGUAUUAGCUAGUUGGUGAGGUAAAGGCUCACCAAGGCGAUGAUACAUAGCCGACCUGAGAGGGUGAUCGGCCACAUUGGGACUGAGACACGGCCCAAACUCCUACGGGAGGCAGCAGUAGGGAAUCUUCGGCAAUGGACGAAAGUCUGACCGAGCAACGCCGUGAGUGAAGAAGGUUUUCGGAUCGUAAAACUCUGUUGGUAGAGAAGAACGUUGGUGAGAGUGGAAAGCUCAUCAAGUGACGGUAACUACCCAGAAAGGGACGGCUAACUACGUG